This 1718-nucleotide ribosomal RNA is filed under the name Clavibacter michiganensis subsp. michiganensis. RNAcentral describes it as "partial 23S ribosomal RNA". It matches the Rfam family "Bacterial large subunit ribosomal RNA", at positions 1 to 1545 of the family's 2925-position model. The record is from RNAcentral. Lineage: Bacteria; Bacillati; Actinomycetota; Actinomycetes; Micrococcales; Microbacteriaceae.
UUCAAGAUUCUAAGAGCAAACGGUGGAUGCCUUGGCAUCUGGAGCCGAAGAAGGACGUAUAAAUCUGCGAUAAGCCUCGGGGAGCUGAUAAUAGAGCUUUGAUCCGAGGAUCUCCGAAUGGGGAAACCCCGCCAGGCCCUUUGGGUGACCUGGUGACUCCCGCCUGAAUAUAUAGGGCGGGUAGAGGGAACGUGGGGAAGUGAAACAUCUCAGUACCCACAGGAAGAGAAAGCAAAAGCGAUUCCGUUAGUAGUGGCGAGCGAAACCGGAAGAGGCCAAACCGAUCAUGUGUGAUAUCCGGUAGGAGUUGCAUGGUCGGGGUUGCGGGACUUUCCGUACAGUUCUACCGAGCUGUGAGGGCAAUGAGCGCGAUAUAGACGAAUGGUCUUGAAAGGCCAGUCAUAGAGGGUGCGAACCCCGUAGUCGAAAUGUCGUCGCCUGUCCGGAGAGUAUCCCAAGUAGCACGGGGCCCGAGAAAUCCCGUGUGAAUCUGUCAGGACCACCUGAUAAGCCUAAAUACUCCCAGAUGACCGAUAGCGGACAAGUACCGUGAGGGAAAGGUGAAAAGUACCCCGGGAGGGGAGUGAAAUAGUACCUGAAACCGUUUGCUUACAAACCGUUGGAGCACCCUUGUUGGUGUGACAGCGUGCCUUUUGAAGAAUGAGCCUGCGAGUUAGUGAUAUGUGGCGAGGUUAACCCGUGAGGGGCAGCCGUAGCGAAAGCGAGUCUUAAUAGGGCGUAUGAGUCGCAUGUUCUAGACCCGAAGCGAAGUGAUCUAUCCAUGGCCAGGUUGAAGCGACGGUAAGACGUCGUGGAGGACCGAACCCACUUCAGUUGAAAAUGGAGGGGAUGAGCUGUGGAUAGGGGUGAAAGGCCAAUCAAACUUCGUGAUAGCUGGUUCUCUCCGAAAUGCAUUUAGGUGCAGCGUUGCGUGUUUCUUGCCGGAGGUAGAGCUACUGGAUGGACGAUGGGCCCCAAAAGGUUACUGACUUCAGCCAAACUCCGAAUGCCGGUAAGUGAGAGCGCAGCAGUGAGACGGUGGGGGAUAAGCUUCAUCGUCGAGAGGGAAACAACCCAGACCACCAUCUAAGGUCCCUAAGCGCGUGCUAAGUGGGAAAGGAUGUGGAGUUGCAUAGACAACCAGGAGGUUGGCUUAGAAGCAGCCACCCUUGAAAGAGUGCGUAAUAGCUCACUGGUCAAGUGAUUCCGCGCCGACAAUGUAACGGGGCUCAAGCACGCCACCGAAGUUGUGGCAUUUAUAUUAUAGGCAGGCCUUCGUGGUCCAGCCGUAUGGAUGGGUAGGAGAGCGUCGUGUGGCCAGCGAAGCGGCGGUGUGAACCAGCCGUGGAGGCCACACGAGUGAGAAUGCAGGCAUGAGUAGCGAAAGACGGGUGAGAAACCCGUCCUCCGAAAGACCAAGGGUUCCAGGGCCAGGCUAAUCCGCCCUGGGUAAGUCGGGACCUAAGGCGAGGCCGACAGGCGUAGUCGAUGGACAACGGGUUGAUAUUCCCGUACCGAUGAAGAACCGCCCAAGACAAUCCAGUAAUGCUAAGUGUCUGAAUCCUUGAUUCGAUCCCUUCGGGGUGACGGUCUUGGCCUAGCACACGACCCUACGCUGGGGCGUUUAGCGUAUUAACAGGUGUGACGCAGGAAGGUAGCUGAGCCGGGCGAUGGUUGUCCCGGUCUAAGGAUGUAGGGCAGAAGAUAGGCAAAUCCGU